AACAUCUUAGUAUGGCAGAAACUUCAUCAGGAUGUGAUUCGUAAGGAAGUAAAUGCUUGGGCUUGCUUACUUUUGAAACAGCAAACUUCACAAAGAAUAAUGAUUCAUGAAUAGGAAGUUACUUACUUUAAUUAUGUUGAAACAAGAAAAUACCUGGAUGCGUCAACUAUGUUUACAAAACUGCUUAGUUCUAGUCUAUUGAUUCUAUGUGAACUCAGGAGAAUGACUGAUGGUCUCUCCUAUCCUGGCUGUGGGAUACCUUCUUACAUGAGCUCUGUUAAACUAAAUGUGCAUUUUCUGUUAUCCAUUUCAGGCAUUCCAUCAUGAAGUUUCUCUUCAGGAGCAGAAGUUCAAACUAUUCAGCACCCCUUCUUUUACAUGACCUACUUUAAAUCUGUUACAAUGCAGCAUGCUCGAAGAGGACAAUGUUACUGUUGUUGGUUCUAACAUGUCAAAACAACAGUCUUGAACUUGUGUCUAAAGAUGUGGUGUCACUUUCUUGGCAACAGAGCAGAGAUCAAGCAGCUCGCUGACCUCACACAGACUCAUCAUCCUGACUUCUAGUCUUCCCAUAAAUGGAUAUAUGCCUUGCCUGCAGAGAAGUAAGAAUCUUCAUUAGCUGGAGAGCUGCCCUAAGGAAAGGGAGUGGUGUGUGUGUGCACAUACACAUGUACUUGUCAUACAGCUGCUGUUCAUGGAGUUUUCUUCAUUUUCUCCAAGUCACAUCUUCAAACUGGAUAGAAAGGCAGAGAACUUUCAUCAGCUUUUCAAGAGUUGCUGCAAUGCUUCCCACUAUACUUCUCCAGCUAUCAAAUGCUCCUCUUCGUGAUGACUCCUUCUGCCAUGACGUCUACCGAGAAUGGUGAAUAAUAUUUGCAAAGACAAAAGAACAGUGAGAACAAUUUAUGAAAACCCUGUUAUUUGUGAUACGAAGAACACGUGGAUUCGUGCUCAAAGCUGACCAUGGUCCUUCUUAGUUUUUCUUCAGCAGACAACAGCAGCCUUCUUAUUUUUCUAAUUGUUAGAAGAAUAUAAAAAAACAUUGCCAGAAAUAAAAAGCAGACUAGUGGAACUGAAACUGCCUUUGUGAUUCCCACACCUCUUAAAUUGUCGUAUUCUGAUUUGUCCACACCUCUUUCAGAAACAAUGGUAUCAUCAUUCUUGGCAAAGAAUGCUUCCUUCCUUAGUCACAGGUGUGAAGACAGGGCUUCCACUUGGAUGGAAAAAUAAGGAAGUUGUUUUCUCAGUUGAUAUAGUGUCCAUUUUUGGAAUCCCCAAAAAGCAUUACACUUGCUAAAAGAGAAGGAAAAAUAAUAUAGGGAUUUCAGUUAGAUUUAUUAAUUUUAAAAUGGGAGGAAGUGCCCCUUGCAAGUAUCUGGAACUCACAUUGUUUACCAUGAGCAAAAAUAGAAUAUUCGUUAUCUCCUUUGCACUUGUGCAUUUAACAGGCAUUGCACAGUUUGUGCCUGUUGCCCCUUGUCCUGUCACUAGGCAUCACCAAGCCUGGCCUAUCCAUCUGGCUCUUGCUCAUUAGAUAUUUAUACGUUUUGAUAAGAUCUCCCCUCUUCUUCUUAUCUGUCUCAACAGUUCCAGGUCUUUCACCCUUACCUAGUAAGAGGGAUGCUCCCGGUCCCUAAUUACCUUUGUGGCCCCCCACUGGGCUCUCUUUAGAAGUUUCCCGUCUUUCUUUAACUGAGGAGCCCAGAACUGCACACAGUACUACAGAUGUGGACUCACAAGGGCAGAGUAGAGAGAGAGGAUCACAUCUCAACAUACUGCCCAUGCAAUUUCUAAUGCUGAAGUAAUUCUAAUUCUGUGAAAAAAUUCCACUUCUGUUAUUAUUAUGUUAUUAUUAUUAUUUAUCAUUUUUUCAGAAGUAAGUAGUAUGUAUUUACUUAGAAACUUAUUACUAGUAUUUUAUGUGAUAACCAAACCAUAUACAUAUUUCACUGUUAAUAAGACUAAAAGCAGAUGUUGAAGUAUCUAGUAUGGAUAUAAUUCUCCAAAUUCAUUUCACAACGAGAGAACUUAUUUAAUCCCUUCACAUUUUCUGGAAAUCAGCUCUCACUAACCUUGGCUACUUUGCAUUUCACAGCAGCAUAGAUGAGUGCUGGACCUACUAUGCUUUGAAAAAUGUGUGUGCACGUGUGUUUUGCUUUUAAUCUACAAUUUGAAAGGACGAUUGUAUUAAUCUUUUGUACAUUAAUUUAUCUGGAGUGUCUGUUCUUUCUGAGACAGAAUGUACUCUGAUUACAAAUACUACUUCUAUUGCUGGAAUUUACAGCCUGGUUUACAAGAAGCAGCAUUGUUAUGUUAUGUUAGACAUAAGUAGUAUUUAAUGGAAUAAUGUAAGGGUUAACAUACAAGUUCAUGCUGGUUUAAUAUUAAAAAUUAAUUAGAUUCCUGUUG
This is a long non-coding RNA of Meleagris gallopavo (turkey), 2409 nucleotides long. NCBI's taxonomy places the organism in Eukaryota, Metazoa, Chordata, Aves, Galliformes, Phasianidae. The record is from Ensembl.